This 135-nucleotide ribosomal RNA is filed under the name uncultured eukaryote. RNAcentral describes it as "partial 18S ribosomal RNA". It matches the Rfam family "Eukaryotic small subunit ribosomal RNA", at positions 1299 to 1458 of the family's 1831-position model. The record is from RNAcentral.
UGGUGGAGUGAUUUGUCUGCUUAAUUGCGAUAACGAACGAGACUUUGACCCUUAAAUAGCCCGGUUAGCUUUGGCUGAUCGCUGGCUUCUUAAGGGACUAUUAACUUAAGUUAAUUGAGGUGCAAAGCAAUAACA